RNAcentral lists this long non-coding RNA (857 nucleotides) under Carica papaya (papaya). RNAcentral's name for it is "long non-coding RNA (CPAP_LNC006652)". The record is from RNAcentral. Lineage: Eukaryota; Viridiplantae; Streptophyta; Magnoliopsida; Brassicales; Caricaceae.
UUGAAAGAUAUAUAUUUACUCAUGAGCCUAAGUUUUGGGUUGACUUGGUUGAGCAAAACUAUUUUUACUAUUAAUGGAUGAUGAUUUUUUCUUUAAAAAAAGUAAAUGUUGAAAUGGAUGUUAUUGUAUUGACUUAUAUUGUAUAAACUAAUACUGUAUUAGAAAGAAAUACAACUAAUUUUGUAGGUCCUCAAAUAACAAAGUAGAACUUAACCUGAAUGAAUUAUUUAAUCUCAUACAAAUGAAUAAAUAAAAUGACAUACAUUUACUGUUUAAAAUACAGUAUUUGACGAUUGAUAAGGAGAAUUGAUGCUUUAAUAAAUAAUGAGAGGUGAUUGAUGGCGACUACAAUGAGAUGUAACUAAUACAAAGAUAGAAGCUUUGAUGUCUUAUAGUAGAGGAGAUCAAAUUUUGUUUACAUUUGAGUACACAAAGAUGAACUAUUUUAUUUCCAGCUUCUUAUGUAUUUCUUUUUACUGAUAUAAAAGUUAAGUAUUUUUUUUUUCGAGUAAAGAAAUGGACAGGUUGUGCAUGAAAUGGACAAGUUGCUUCCUUUAUUUGAUGUAUAUUUAGUUAGCGACAUUUUGACUUUUCCUGACAACCUUUAUCAGCUGCUAAAAUUGGUUCAUUUAUUGUCUAAUUUUUAGUUGGAUUUAAAAGUAACUUUCAUUCAACAUUUUCUUUCUCUUCUUCUUAAUUGGAUGUAAAUGUGUAAUCAGAUAGUAUAUAACAUAGCCAGAGAUCUAGUAAGGACUUCUGAAAGGUAUAUAGUUGUUCAUACUUUUUCGUUCACUUGUUUAAGAAGAAUGGUUUUUAUCCAUGAAUUUUUUUAAAAAGGAAAAAGUAAAUGUUGAAAU